CCUACGGGUGGCUGCAGUGAGGAAUAUUGGUCAAUGGCCGCGAGCCUGAACCAGCCAAGUCGCGUGAAGGAUGACUGCCCUACGGGUUGUAAACUUCUUUUAUCAAGGAAUAAAGUGAGGCACGUGUGCCUUUUUGUAUGUACUUUAUGAAUAAGGAUCGGCUAACUCCGUGCCAGCAGCCGCGGUAAUACGGAGGAUCCGAGCGUUAUCCGGAUUUAUUGGGUUUAAAGGGAGCGUAGAUGGGUUGUUAAGUCAGUUGUGAAAGUUUGCGGCUCAACCGUAAAAUUGCAAUUGAUACUGGAAGUCUUGAGUACAGGUGAGGUAGGCGGAAUGCGUGGUGUAGCGGUGAAAUGCUUAGAUAUCACGAAGAACUCCGAUUGCGAAGGCAGCUUACUAAACUGCCACUGACAUUGAUGCACGAAAGUGUGGGUAUCAAACAGGAUUAGAUACCCCAGUAGUC
RNAcentral lists this ribosomal RNA (460 nucleotides) under uncultured bacterium. Its description in RNAcentral is "partial 16S ribosomal RNA". It matches the Rfam family "Bacterial small subunit ribosomal RNA", at positions 338 to 795 of the family's 1533-position model. The record is from RNAcentral.